ACCUCGCUUGUCUUGCUCCUGUGAGACGAGCGGAAUACCGACGACCAAAACGACGGUGUUUUAGUCCGUCCGCCGCUCUGGGGCUCGCUCCUGUCGCCGGCGGAGUCAAAGUCCGCGUGUCUAAAAGCGCCGCCGAGAAACUUCGACGUGGAGCGCAGAAAAGGGACCGCAACCGACCGGGACCGCCGGAAAGACGGCUCGCUCUCGAGAAUCUUGGAGACUCGGACGCCGUCGCCGGCGGGGAAGCGAGAGGACGAAGAAGAAGACGAGGAAGACGACGUCGUGGCGCAGCAACCGCAGGGGCGGACGUUAGCGCAGUCGGGGCAG
This 327-nucleotide long non-coding RNA is filed under the name Malus domestica (apple). Its description in RNAcentral is "long non-coding RNA (MDOM_LNC005520)". The record is from RNAcentral. Lineage: Eukaryota; Viridiplantae; Streptophyta; Magnoliopsida; Rosales; Rosaceae.